CAGACCUUGGCCUAAUGGUAAGGCGUUGCUUUCCGGCAUUCUUCUGGAGCGUGGCAAAGAUUGUGGGUUCGAGUCCCAUAGGUGUCG
Molecule: non-coding RNA, 87 nt
Organism: Karstenula rhodostoma CBS 690.94
Lineage: Eukaryota; Fungi; Ascomycota; Dothideomycetes; Pleosporales; Didymosphaeriaceae
Source: the annotation of a GenBank genome assembly